CAUCGGUAUGGGAUGGGUCGCGUCCUAUCAGCUUGAUGGCGGGUAACGGCCCACCAUGGCUUCGACGGGUAGCCGGCCUGAGAGGGCGACCGGCCACAUUGGGACUGAGAUACGGCCCAGACUCCUACGGGAGGCAGCAGUGGGGAAUAUUGCACAAUGGGCGCAAGCCUGAUGCAGCGACGCCGCGUGCGGGAUGACGGCCUUCGGGUUGUAAACCGCUUUUGACUGGGAGCAAGCCCUUCGGGGUGAGUGUACCUUUCGAAUAAGCACCGGCUAACUACGUGCCAGCAGCCGCGGUAAUACGUAGGGUGCAAGCGUUAUCCGGAAUUAUUGGGCGUAAAGGGCUCGUAGGCGGUUCGUCGCGUCCGGUGUGAAAGUCCAUCGCUUAACGGUGGAUCCGCGCCGGGUACGGGCGG
RNAcentral lists this ribosomal RNA (416 nucleotides) under uncultured Bifidobacterium sp. RNAcentral's name for it is "bacterial SSU rRNA". It matches the Rfam family "Bacterial small subunit ribosomal RNA", at positions 213 to 639 of the family's 1533-position model. Lineage: Bacteria; Bacillati; Actinomycetota; Actinomycetes; Bifidobacteriales; Bifidobacteriaceae. The record is from RNAcentral.